AGGAACUUGGCUCCAGAGUGUGUCAUCACCGAGGACCUCCAGGCCUAAGAAAGUUGAAGUGCGAAGCCUUGAAGCCAAUUGUGUGAAGCUCUACUUAUCCAAGAAUGCACAUUAUAUAUUGUAAUAAUAGACAUAUCUGCUUUGUAAUAGAUUGGAAAAAUUGUAAUAUACUACCUUCGUGUUAAUUUGAUGAAUUUCACAUGUC
Molecule: long non-coding RNA, 205 nt
Organism: Hordeum vulgare subsp. vulgare (domesticated barley)
Lineage: Eukaryota; Viridiplantae; Streptophyta; Magnoliopsida; Poales; Poaceae
Exons: 2
Source: RefSeq, a predicted model, not a curated record